This 378-nucleotide unclassified non-coding RNA is filed under the name plant metagenome. RNAcentral describes it as "partial contains 5.8S ribosomal RNA, internal transcribed spacer 2, and large subunit ribosomal RNA". The stretch from base 1 to 105 matches the Rfam family "5.8S ribosomal RNA", at positions 50 to 154 of the family's 154-position model. The record is from RNAcentral.
GAAAUGCGAUAAGUAAUGUGAAUUGCAGAAUUCAGUGAAUCAUCGAAUCUUUGAACGCACCUUGCGCUCCUUGGUAUUCCUUGGAGCAUGCCUGUUUGAGUAUCAUGAAAUCUUCAAAGUAAAUCUUUUGUUAACUCAAUUGGUUUCUACUUUGGUAUUGGAGGUCUUUGCAGCUUCACACCUGCUCCUCUUUGUUCAUUAGCUGGAUCUCAGUGUUAUGCUUGGUUCCACUCGGCGUGAUAAGUUAUCUAUCGCUGAGGACACUGUAAAAGGUGGCCAGGUAAAUGCAGAUGAACCGCUUCUAAUAGUCCAUUGACUUGGACAAUACUUUUAUGAUCUGAUCUCAAAUCAGGUAGGACUACCCGCUGAACUUAAGCA